UGGGGAAUAUUGCACAAUGGGGGAAACCCUGAUGCAGCGACGCCGCGUGAGCGAAGAAGGUUUUCGAAUCGUAAAGCUCUGUCCUAUGAGAAGAUAAUGACGGUAUCAUAGGAGGAAGCCCCGGCUAAAUACGUGCCAGCAGCCGCGGUAAUACGUAUGGGGCGAGCGUUGUCCGGAAUUAUUGGGCGUAAAGGGUACGUAGGCGGUCCUUCAAGUCGGUGGUUAAAGGCUACGGCUCAACCGUAGUAAGCCGCCGAAACUGGAGGACUUGAGUGCAGGAGAGGAAAGUGGAAUUCCCAGUGUAGCGGUGAAAUGCGUAGAUAUUGGGAGGAACACCAGUAGCGAAGGCGGCUUUCUGGACUGCAACUGACACUGAGGCACGAAAGCGUGGGUAGCAAACAGG
Molecule: ribosomal RNA, 403 nt
Filed under: Verrucomicrobiota bacterium
Lineage: Bacteria; Pseudomonadati; Verrucomicrobiota
Description: Verrucomicrobia bacterium partial 16S ribosomal RNA
Rfam family: Bacterial small subunit ribosomal RNA
Source: RNAcentral